This 469-nucleotide long non-coding RNA is filed under the name Mus pahari (shrew mouse). Its description in RNAcentral is "lncRNA (MGP_PahariEiJ_G0002642.1)". Lineage: Eukaryota; Metazoa; Chordata; Mammalia; Rodentia; Muridae. The record is from RNAcentral.
CAGGAGCGUGAGAAAAGUUGUUGGGUUUUUUUUUUUUUUAUUUUCCACCUCGCCUUUUGUCUUGUUUUGUUUUUUUUUGAGACAGGUCUUACAAAGCUCAAGCUGGCCUCAAAUUCAUCAUGAAGUCAAGGAUGGCGUUAAACUUCUGCCUCCAGGAACCCUCAGGUAUGGAGAUGCCAGUACAUGAGCCACAGAGCAUGGUAGAGCAAAGGCUACAUGGAACCCACUGCUCCUGAUUCAGUGCUGCUAACCUCCCAGGAUUCAGUCCCACUGCGGGCCUCAUGCUCAGCGAUCUCAACACUGACGUUACACACAAGGGAGGAGACAAAGAGUGAGGAUGUCCACAUCCAAGUCUCAAAAGCCAGAGGCUAUGGCUGUCUCCUGUAAUCCCUGCAGCACAGCCCCGCUGUAUCACUGGGAAGUUAUGUCCUGGUGUCUCCUUUCAAAUAAAGUUUUAUUGAAACACAAA